AAUAAUUGAAUAUUAUUAUAUUAUUAAUAAUUAUUUAUUAUAAAUUGUGUACACAGAAUAUAAUAUAAUUAUUAAUUUUAUAAUAAUUAUGUAAUUAUUAUUUAUUAUAAUUAAUAUUUAUAUUAAUAAAAUAAUUUCAAUUGUUUUAAAUUUUUUAAAAUAGUGAGAAAUUAUUUAUUGAUUAAUUAUUAGUUAUAUGGGUACGAAUUUUAAUAAUUAUUUUUUUUAAUAAUUAUUAUCACGUUGACCGAGACAUACGAAGGUAGCAUAGCCAAAGUGCAGGAGAAAUUGAGAGAGAGGCCUCAUGAAACGUUAAAAGGAAGUGUCAUGAACAAGCGAUAGCCUAAGUAUCCUUAUAAAUCGGAAUCUACUACAAAUAGUGGUUGAAACACGACGUGAAGGUUCGUUGUGCUGAGAUUUCAAAAUAUUUAAAUUAUUUAUAAUAAUUUAUUGUCCCGACCGUGGAAGACACCGACAUAUAAAUUUAUGUUAAUAAAUUAUUAUUAAAUAAUUAUUAUUAUUUUGGAUAUG
Molecule: ribosomal RNA, 531 nt
Filed under: Strongyloides stercoralis
Lineage: Eukaryota; Metazoa; Nematoda; Chromadorea; Rhabditida; Strongyloididae
Description: eukaryotic LSU rRNA
Source: RNAcentral